CAGCAGCCACGGUAAUACGGAGGGCGCGAGCGUUACCCGGAUUUACUGGGCGUAAAGGGCGUGUAGGCGGCCUGGGGCGUCCCAUGUGAAAGGCCACGGCUCAACCGUGGAGGAGCGUGGGAUACGCUCAGGCUAGAGGGUGGGAGAGGGUGGUGGAAUUCCCGGAGUAGCGGUGAAAUGCGCAGAUACCGGGAGGAACGCCGAUGGCGAAGGCAGCCACCUGGUCCACUUCUGACGCUGAGGCGCGAAAGCGUGGGGAGCAAACCGGAUUAGAGACCCCAGUAGUCCCUGUCUCUUAUAC
RNAcentral lists this ribosomal RNA (301 nucleotides) under uncultured bacterium. Its description in RNAcentral is "partial 16S ribosomal RNA". It matches the Rfam family "Bacterial small subunit ribosomal RNA", at positions 509 to 807 of the family's 1533-position model. The record is from RNAcentral.